UACGGAGGGGGCUAGCGUUGUUCGGAAUUACUGGGCGUAAAGCGUGCGUAGACGGUAGCGUAAGUCAGAUGUGAAAGCCCCGGGCUCAACCUGGGAACUGCAUUUGAGACUGCUCUGCUCGGGUGCGGAAGAGGGAAGCGGAAUUUCCGGUGUAGCGGUGAAAUGCGUAGAUAUCGGAAGGAACACCAGUGGCGAAAGCGGCUUCCUGGUCCGACACCGACGUUCAGGCACGAAAGCGUGGGGAGCAAACAGG
RNAcentral lists this ribosomal RNA (253 nucleotides) under uncultured bacterium. Its description in RNAcentral is "partial 16S ribosomal RNA". It matches the Rfam family "Bacterial small subunit ribosomal RNA", at positions 524 to 776 of the family's 1533-position model. The record is from RNAcentral.